UUUAAGAUUGUUUUUAAUGAAAUUCCAGAGACUGGUUGGUUAAUGUCUUUUUCUAAUAAGAAUGUUUGUUGAAAGUUUAAUGCAGUUUGGUGUAGUUGUGUUAGGUUACAUUUAUUCCAGAGUAAGAGUUUUCUCUUGGGUUUUGAAUUGGCUACUGCUUUUAUCUGACUGUGUAUUUUUAUGAUCUAAUGGUCUGAUAGACCAGGGAUAAUAUUAUAAUCAACUACUAAUCCAGGUCUGUUGGUUAAGAAGAGAUCUAAUGUGUUGUUUAAUCUAGUUGUCUUUUUAAUGAUUUGAUCUAAACUUAGGUUGUGUAAAGUUUCUAUGAAAAGCUC
Molecule: non-coding RNA, 335 nt
Organism: Biomphalaria pfeifferi
Lineage: Eukaryota; Metazoa; Mollusca; Gastropoda; Planorbidae
Source: the annotation of a GenBank genome assembly